GUGCACCAGGCGCGAAAACUUUACAAUGUGCGAAAGCACGAUAAGGGAACUCUGAGUGCCUCCUAAGGAGGCUGUUCAGGUGUCUAAAAAGCACCUGAAGGAAGGGCUGGGUAAGACCGGUGCCAGCCGCCGCGGUAACACCGGCAGGCCCAAGUGGUAGCCACGUUUAUUGGGUCUAAAGCGUCCGUAGCCGGCUGGGUAAGUUCCUUGGGAAAUUUGGCUGUCUUAACAGUCAAGCUUUCAGGGAAUACUGCCCGGCUUGGGACCGGGGAGAGGUCAGAGGUACUCCAGGGGUAGGGGUGAAAAUCCAUUAAUCCUUGGGGGACCACCGGUAGCGAAGGCGUCUGACCAGACCGGGUCCGACGGUGAGGGACGAAGG
Molecule: ribosomal RNA, 379 nt
Filed under: uncultured microorganism
Description: bacterial SSU rRNA
Rfam family: Archaeal small subunit ribosomal RNA
Source: RNAcentral